CAGCCAUUACAAACGUGCCGAAACGAUCGAUGGGACAGCUACAAAUGUGUGUAUUCUUAGGUUUUACGAUAUCUUAACUUGUAUCGUUUCUACGUUACCACCUACAAACAUAUCAUUUUUGGCUGACCAACGAGAAAUAUCUGCUCACGGCUGUCGGGUGCGUAAAAACGUUUCGGGUGAUGUACUGACAGAUGGAUGACUUUGACCUGUAAGCUGUCACUCGCAGUGGAAGCCAGAUUGUGCCAGUGAUGGACUCCGAUUUCGUAACCGGAUACAGUGGCCUGCAGGGAAAAUCAAAGCAUGCGCGUUAUGCUGCUACAGACCACUAUAGAAACAGAACCCUUGAAUGAUGAUUUGGAUUGAAGUAGUUAAAAGUACGUAUUAUACAAUCAUUCUACAAUGCAGCAACAAAAUCUACAACAUUUGAUUAACUUCUGUAAUUACAUGUAAUUAAAUCCAAUAAAAUGAGCAAACUGCAUUGAAUAAGUUUUAUAUGUCGCCAACAUUACGUAGCAACGUCACCUGAAAACCAUGGAAGACCCAUCCCUCCAGCCACUACAUAAUCCUAGUUCAAAUAAUUAUAAGAAACUGCCCUUGGCAUCAUAAAGCUAAUCGCAUUGUGCCUUAAUAAAUACAUCGCGGGAAAACAAAAUAUGUAUAUGUCGCCAAAAGAGAA
Long non-coding RNA from Malaya genurostris, 676 nucleotides. RefSeq lists it as uncharacterized. The transcript has 3 exons. The record is from RefSeq and is a predicted model, not a curated record. NCBI's taxonomy places the organism in Eukaryota, Metazoa, Arthropoda, Insecta, Diptera, Culicidae.